CAAGGUUCCUUCGGGGACUGGAGGAGCGGCAAACGGGGUAGUAAGGCAUUGGAAUGUACCCUUCUGUCCAGGAUAGCCACGGGAAACUGUGAGUAAUACUGGAUGAUCUCUUCGGAGCAAAGGUCCGCCGCAGAGGGAGCGGCCAAUGUAAUAUCAGCUUGUUGGUGAGGUAAUGGCUCACCAAGGCUUAGACGUUUAGGGGGUGUGAGAGCAUGGCCCCCACCACUGGGACUGAGACACUGCCCAGACACCUACGGGUGGCUGCAGUCGAGAAUCUUUGGCAAUGGGCGCAAGCCUGACCAAGCGACGCUGCGUGCGGGAUGAAGGCCCUUGGGUUGUAAACCGCUGUCAGAGGGGAUGAAAGCGCAAGCUUGACAGAGCCUCAGAGGAAGCGCGGGCUAAGUUCGUGCCAGCAGCCGCGGUAAUACGAACUGCGCGAACGUUAUUCGGAA
RNAcentral lists this ribosomal RNA (452 nucleotides) under uncultured Planctomycetota bacterium. Its description in RNAcentral is "bacterial SSU rRNA". It matches the Rfam family "Bacterial small subunit ribosomal RNA", at positions 70 to 550 of the family's 1533-position model. The record is from RNAcentral. Lineage: Bacteria; Pseudomonadati; Planctomycetota.